This is a non-coding RNA of Acanthosepion pharaonis, 109 nucleotides long. Lineage: Eukaryota; Metazoa; Mollusca; Cephalopoda; Sepiida; Sepiidae. The record is from the annotation of a GenBank genome assembly.
GGCCAUAUCACGUUGAAAAACCAGUUCCUGUACUAUCACCAAAGUUAAGCAACGUCGAGCAUGGUCGGUACCCAGAUGAGUGACCGCUUAGGAAUAUCAGGUGCUGUAA